AGUGAACGCUGGCGGUAGGCCUAGCACAUGCAAGUCGAACGGCAGCACAGGAGAGCUUGCUCUCUGGGUGGCGAGUGGCGGACGGGUGAGGAAUACAUCGGAAUCUACUUUUUCGUGGGGGAUAACGUAGGGAAACUUACGCUAAUACCGCAUACGACCUACGGGUGAAAGCAGGGGACCUUCGGGCCUUGCGCGAUUGAAUGAGCCGAUGUCGGAUUAGCUAGUUGGCGGGGUAAAGGCCCACCAAGGCGACGAUCCGUAGCUGGUCUGGGAGGAUGAUCAGCCACACUGGAACUGAGACACGGUCCAGACUCCUACGGGAGGCAGCAGUGGGGAAUAUUGGACAAUGGGCGCAAGCCUGAUCCAGCCAUACCGCGUGGGUGAAGAAGGCCUUCGGGUUGUAAAGCCCUUUUGUUGGGAAAGAUAUCCAGCUGGCUAAUACCCGGUUGGGAUGACGGUACCCAAAGAAUAAGCACCGGCUAACUUCGUGCCAGCAGCCGCGGUAA
This 506-nucleotide ribosomal RNA is filed under the name uncultured bacterium. Its description in RNAcentral is "partial 16S ribosomal RNA". It matches the Rfam family "Bacterial small subunit ribosomal RNA", at positions 29 to 523 of the family's 1533-position model. The record is from RNAcentral.